RNAcentral lists this ribosomal RNA (468 nucleotides) under uncultured bacterium. RNAcentral's name for it is "partial 16S ribosomal RNA". It matches the Rfam family "Bacterial small subunit ribosomal RNA", at positions 28 to 507 of the family's 1533-position model. The record is from RNAcentral.
GACGAACGCUGGCGGCGUGCUUAACACAUGCAAGUCGAACGGAAAGGCCCGGCGUUUGUUGCUUUCUCGUUUGGCGAACGGGGGAGUAACACGUGAGUAUCCUGCCCUUGACUUUGGGAUAACUCCAGGAAACUGGGGCGAAUACCGGAUAGGAUCUCCUGCUGCAUGGUGUGGGUUGGUAAGUUUCGGCGGUUGUGGCUGGACUCGCUGCUUAUCAGCUUGUUUGUGAGGUAGUUGCUUACCAAGGCUUUGACGGGUAGCCUGCCUGAGAGGGUGACCGGCGACAUUGGGACUGCGAUACGGCCCAGACUCCUACGGGCGGCAGCAGUGGGGAAUAUUGCACAGUGAGCGGACGCGUGAUGCAGCAACGCCGCGUGCGGGAUAACGGCCUUCGGGUUGUAAACCGCUUUCGAAGGUGACGAAGCGUGAGUGACGGUAAUGGGUAAAGAAGCACCGGCUAACUACGUG